AUAUUAUACAUUCCAGAUCUAAUUCAAAGCUGUAGUAUUCAAAACAGUAUGUUAUUGGCACAAAAAUAGACAUAUAGACAAUG
Molecule: long non-coding RNA, 83 nt
Organism: Mustela erminea (ermine)
Lineage: Eukaryota; Metazoa; Chordata; Mammalia; Carnivora; Mustelidae
Exons: 3
Source: RefSeq, a predicted model, not a curated record